UCUGCAAGCAAUUGGCUUUCUCCUUUCUUCAUUUGCCAAGGUAAUUACCAUUCUUCCAUUCAUUUCUCACCUUCCAAAAAUUUGUUGAAAGCAUUUAUGGCAAAAUGUCUCUCAUUCUCUUUGACCUUGUUGAUUAAUUUGUUUUUAAAAAUUCUUCGCCUGUCAUUGUAAUGAGAUUUGGAUAGGAAGAAAAGGUAGUUAUGGUCAAUUCCAGUAGUUUUAACCAGAAGUUUCCCUUGGAAAUCUUAAUUUUUAUUGGCAUCCAGACCCUUGAACUUCUCUUUUAGGCAAAUCCCUACUGUUUACUACAUAAACAGUAAACAAUUUAGAAAAAUACUAACUUUUAGUCUAUAUCUCAUGGCCUGUGUAUAUUUAUUUACAUACAAUUCUAAUAAUCUUGAUUAUUUAGUACUCUAGCUUUUAGUAGGUUAGAGGCAGAAUUUUAGUAGUAAGUUAGAUCUGAAUGCAACUAGUCAUAUAUCCUGGGAGUAUCCAGAAUAGCUGGAAGACCAAAAGAUGGCAGAAAACUUGUAACGGGCACCUGGGUGGCUCAGUUGGUUCUGCAUCCAACUCUUGGUUUCGGCGCAGGUCAUGAUCUCAUGGUUCAUGAGUUUGAGCCUCAUGUCGGGCUCUGCGCUGACAGCGUGGAGCCUGAUGGGAUUCUUUCUCUCCCUCUCUGACCCUUCCCUGCUUGUUCUCUCUCUCUCUCUCUCUCUCUCUCUCUCUCUCUCUCUCUCUCAAUAAAUAAAUAGACUUAUAAAAAAAGGAAGCUUAUAAGUUAAAAGAACAUAUAACAACACAAUAGUUUAUUUAGGUACAAACAGUCCUAGACACUUCAAAAUGCAUUGCUGCAAUCAAUCAUUGCUGUAAUGCUGAUGCCAUCUUCCUAUUACAAAACCUUCUAUGACCCCCCAGUGUCUGUUGAUAUAAGCCUAAUGCUCUCUCACUGUUCCAUCUAUUCCCAAGCAUAUGACCUGCAGUGCCAGUGAAACACCCUGCUCUAUUUCACCUAUGAAUUUCCACUUACAAGCUGUGAAUUUCUUAGCAUGGCACACCAUUUCUUGCCAUCACAAGUCAUUCUACAAGACCUAUUUGAAUCCUCAUCAUGUAUUCUCCCUCCUUUCUCUUCUUUGUCCUCAUCCUCCUGCUGACAUCGCCCCUUGGAGGAAUUUCAAGGAGCUCUGUGGGCAUUUCAGAUGGCAAGGUGGCUUCAGAUGGCAGUCACCUGGAGCUGGUGCACACCCCUAGUGUAAUUUAUGAAAAAUACCCAUGUGGUAUAUACAAAUAUACAUGUAUGCGGAUAAGAGGGGCGCUGCCCAAGCGGUAGAUCAGUGUAGUGCAUUUGUGUCACAA
This 1353-nucleotide long non-coding RNA is filed under the name Felis catus (domestic cat). Its description in RNAcentral is "lncRNA (ENSFCAG00000051378.1)". Lineage: Eukaryota; Metazoa; Chordata; Mammalia; Carnivora; Felidae. The record is from RNAcentral.